This 135-nucleotide ribosomal RNA is filed under the name Pseudomonas sp. ATCC 13867. RNAcentral's name for it is "partial 23S ribosomal RNA". It matches the Rfam family "Bacterial large subunit ribosomal RNA", at positions 1 to 126 of the family's 2925-position model. The record is from RNAcentral. Lineage: Bacteria; Pseudomonadati; Pseudomonadota; Gammaproteobacteria; Pseudomonadales; Pseudomonadaceae.
GUUAUAUGGGUCAAGUGAAGAAGCGCAUACGGUGGAUGCCUUGGCAGUCAGAGGCGAUGAAAGACGUGGUAGCCUGCGAUAAGCUUCGGGGAGUCGGCAAACAGACUUUGAUCCGGAGAUCUCUGAAUGGGGAAA